GACGAACGCUGGCGGCGUGCUUAACACAUGCAAGUCGAACGGGAUUACGAAGCAAAAGCCCCGGGCUAAGGUUACUAAUGGGGGGGGCGGACGGGUGGAGUACCCCUUUGCAAACUGGCCAUCACCAGUGGAUUAGCCCGGGAAAUCGGGAUUAAUUCCUCCUUAAAUUGGUGGAAAACAUGUUUUUACCGGUCAAGGUUUAUCGGGCAUGGAAUGGGCUGGGUUUGAUUAGCUUGUUGGUGAGAUAACAGCCCACCAAGGCGACGAUCAGUAGCCGGUCUGAGAGGAUGAACGGCCACAUUGGAACUGAGACACGGUCCAAACUCCUACGGGAGGCAGCAGUGGGGAAUAUUGCACAAUGGGGGAAACCCUGAUGCAGCGACGCCGCGUGAACGAAGAAGGUAUUCGUAUCGUAAAGUUCUGUCCUAUGGGAAGAUAAUGACAGUACCAUAGAAGAAAGCUCCGGCUAAAUACGUG
RNAcentral lists this ribosomal RNA (477 nucleotides) under uncultured bacterium. Its description in RNAcentral is "partial 16S ribosomal RNA". It matches the Rfam family "Bacterial small subunit ribosomal RNA", at positions 28 to 507 of the family's 1533-position model. The record is from RNAcentral.